GACGGCAUGGAAGAACACCAGUAAGCCAGUGACUCAGCCCCUGUAAUAGGGUUAGAGGCAGAGAAUCCCAGUGGAGAGAGGGGAACCGGCCAGGCAGAGACAGCAAGGGCGGUUCGUUGCUCCUGCCUUUCUGUUCACCUUCACACCCCUGGGCCAGACUACACUUAAUCAUAGGACCUACUGAAGAGAUGAGUCUUCAGUAAAGACUUAAAGGUUGAGACUGAGUCUGCAUCUCUCACAUGGGUGGCGAAUCGCAUCUCUGCAUGUCUGGCAGACAUAUCAGUGUGGAUUUCGAAUCACCACCUCAAGCUGAACCUCGGCAAGACGGAGCUGCUCUUCCUCCCGGAGAAGGACUGCCCGUUCCAUGAUCUCGCCAUCACGGUUGACAACUCCAUUGUGUCCUCCUCCCAGAGUGCUAAGAGCCUUGGCGUGACCCUGGACAACACCCUGUCGUUCUCCGCUAAAAUCAAGGCGGUGACCUGAUCCUGUAGGUUCAUGCUCUACAACAUUCGCAGAGUACGACCCUGCCU
Molecule: long non-coding RNA, 530 nt
Filed under: Salmo salar (Atlantic salmon)
Lineage: Eukaryota; Metazoa; Chordata; Actinopteri; Salmoniformes; Salmonidae
Description: lncRNA (ENSSSAG00000101966.1)
Source: RNAcentral